AUUGAACGCUGGCGGCAUGCUUUACACAUGCAAGUCGAACGGUAACAGGUUAAGCUGACGAGUGGCGAACGGGUGAGUAAUGCAUCGGAACGUGCCCGGUCGUGGGGGAUAACACUUCGAAAGAAGUGCUAAUACCGCAUACGAUCUGAGGAUGAAAGCGGGGGACCGUAAGGCCUCGCGCGAUCGGAGCGGCCGAUGUCAGAUUAGGUAGUUGGUGGGGUAAAGGCUCACCAAGCCGACGAUCUGUAGCUGGUCUGAGAGGACGACCAGCCACACUGGGACUGAGACACGGCCCAGACUCCUACGGGAGGCAGCAGUGGGGAAUAUUGGACAAUGGGGGGAACCCUGAUCCAGCCAUGCCGCGUGUGUGAAGAAGGCCUUAUGGUUGUAAAGCACUUAAGCGAGGAGGAGGCUACUCUAGUUAAUACCUAGGGAUAGUGGACGUUACUCGCAGAAUAAGCACCGGCUAACUCUGUGCCAGCCGCCGCGGUAA
This 493-nucleotide ribosomal RNA is filed under the name uncultured bacterium. RNAcentral describes it as "partial 16S ribosomal RNA". It matches the Rfam family "Bacterial small subunit ribosomal RNA", at positions 30 to 523 of the family's 1533-position model. The record is from RNAcentral.